GAAAUGCGAUAAGUAGUGUGAAUUGCAGAAUUCAGUGAAUCAUCGAAUCUUUGAACGCACAUUGCGCCCCUUGGUAUUCCAUGGGGCAUGCCUGUUCGAGCGUCAUUUGUACCCUCAAGCUCUGCUUGGUGUUGGGUGUUUGUCCCCGUCUCCGCGCGUGGACUCGCCCCAAAGUGAUUGGCAGCCGGCGUACUGGUCCCGGAGCGCAGCACAUGUCGCGCAAACGAGUGCCUUGGUACGGCGGCGUCCAUAAGCCCCUCUCUCACGCUCUUGACCUCGGAUCAGGUAGGGAUACCCGCAGAACUUAAGC
RNAcentral lists this unclassified non-coding RNA (310 nucleotides) under plant metagenome. Its description in RNAcentral is "partial contains 5.8S ribosomal RNA, internal transcribed spacer 2, and large subunit ribosomal RNA". The stretch from base 1 to 105 matches the Rfam family "5.8S ribosomal RNA", at positions 50 to 154 of the family's 154-position model. The record is from RNAcentral.